UACAGAGGUCUCAAGCGUUGUUCGGAUUCAUUGGGCGUAAAGGGUGCGUAGGUGGCGUCGUAAGUCGGGUGUGAAAUUUCGGAGCUCAACUCCGAAACUGCAUUCGAUACUGCGGUGCUUGAGGACUGGAGAGGAGACUGGAAUUUACGGUGUAGCAGUGAAAUGCGUAGAGAUCGUAAGGAAGACCAGUGGCGAAGGCGGGUCUCUGGACAGUUCCUGACACUGAGGCACGAAGGCCAGGGGAGCAAACGGG
This 253-nucleotide ribosomal RNA is filed under the name uncultured bacterium. RNAcentral describes it as "partial 16S ribosomal RNA". It matches the Rfam family "Bacterial small subunit ribosomal RNA", at positions 524 to 776 of the family's 1533-position model. The record is from RNAcentral.